This 61-nucleotide transfer RNA is filed under the name Paenibacillus terrae. RNAcentral describes it as "tRNA-Ser". It matches the Rfam family "tRNA", at positions 16 to 71 of the family's 71-position model. Rfam says of the family: Transfer RNA (tRNA) molecules are approximately 80 nucleotides in length. The record is from RNAcentral. Lineage: Bacteria; Bacillati; Bacillota; Bacilli; Caryophanales; Paenibacillaceae.
UGGAUAGAGCGUUUGACUACGAAUCAAAAGGCCGGGAGUUCGAAUCUCUCAGGGCGCGCCA